CACUUGCUGCUCCACCUUGCACUGGUAUGUUAUGGAGACGGCUUCUUUCUUUAAACCGCAUGACCAGCCUCUUCUAGCUGCCAACUUUUCUUCUUUGGUUUCCCCACUUCUCU
Molecule: long non-coding RNA, 113 nt
Organism: Sapajus apella (tufted capuchin)
Lineage: Eukaryota; Metazoa; Chordata; Mammalia; Primates; Cebidae
Exons: 3
Source: RefSeq, a predicted model, not a curated record